UUGGGAGAUGUAUUCCUGACUCUCCCCGGAGCGGAGUGAACGCGGCGGGGAAGGCGGAGCCGGUGCGAAGGAGCGUCUGGGCGCUGCGGCUCUGCCUGGCUCGCGCGGGGGCCGUUGGAGCCUCUCCGCGGGCCGGGAGAAGGGUGUGUGACUGAGAUCAGGGCUCUUAUCAUCCUGAGUGUGGUCCUGUUCUGCCAGGUGCUGAAGACACCCCAGCUGAGAUCUGGGCCCUGCUUUGCCAAGCACUGAAGAGACCCCGGGUGAGAUCAGACCCCACUGUUGUGCCAGGCUACAGAAUAACGUCCACAUUUCGCCCCAAAUCAUCCCUUCCUCCCAGCGGGAAGGCAAUGGCUGCAGUGGAGCUGGCUCAGGCCUUCCAUUCUCCUGUUCAAGAGACAUCCCCAGGGCUCCCUCUGCCUGUGUGACUGGCCAGCAGGGGGCGGUGAUAACUUUCUAUCCACUUAUCAGGCACUGUUAGGUAACUGUGUUGCUGGGUGGGGGUAGAGGUGGGGCUGUGUGGGGAGAUUGCAGCUGAAGGGGGAUUGUGGUAGGGGGAGGUGUUUGGAUGGCUGGACAGGGGGUAUCCUAGUCAGGUUGGUGGGUUCUGGUGGUUUGGGGUUUUGGGGAGGUGGUUCUGAUGUUCCCAGCCCUGAGGCUAUGGGUCCUGAAGGUGGGUGUCGCUGGGAUCCUGUAGGCUGCAGAACAGCAGGGUUGGGUGUCUCUUGGGGAGGCAGGACAGGAGGUUAGAGGGAGACUGGUGCUGUGCCAGGGGCUCUGUUUGGGCUUCCCCGGCUGGCUUCUGGGAUCGUUGCCAUGCCCAGUGCACAGAGCUGGGGGAGGGGAUCCGUGGCACUAGGUCAGCAGUUGUCAGGGAAGCAGAGUGAAGGGUCCCACUGAAAAGCAUCAGGGGGUCCUGUUGGGUGGAGGAGGGGGUCCCAGA
This is a non-coding RNA of Chelonoidis abingdonii (Abingdon island giant tortoise), 940 nucleotides long. NCBI's taxonomy places the organism in Eukaryota, Metazoa, Chordata, Testudines, Testudinidae. The record is from RefSeq and is a predicted model, not a curated record.